Molecule: ribosomal RNA, 500 nt
Filed under: uncultured bacterium
Lineage: Bacteria
Description: partial 16S ribosomal RNA
Rfam family: Bacterial small subunit ribosomal RNA
Source: RNAcentral
AUUGAACGCUGGCGGAAUGCUUUACACAUGCAAGUCGAAUGGCAGCACGGACUUCGGUCUGGUGGCGAGUGGCGAACGGGUGAGUAACAUAUCGGAACGUAUCCAAUAAUGGGGGAUAACGAGUCGAAAGAUUCGCUAAUACCGCAUACGCCCUACGGGGGAAAGCUGGGGACCUUCGGGCCUGGCGUUAAUGGAGCGGCCGAUAUCUGCUUAGCUAGUUGGUGAGGUAAAGGCUCACCAAGGCGACGAUCAGUAGCUGGUCUGAGAGGACGACCAGCCACACUGGAACUGAGACACGGUCCAGACUCCUACGGGAGGCAGCAGUGGGGAAUUUUGGACAAUGGGCGCAAGCCUGAUCCAGCCAUUCCGCGUGAGUGAAGAAGGCCUUCGGGUUGUAAAGCUCUUUCGCAAGGGAAGAAAACUUAGCCACUAACAUUGGUUGAGGUUGACGGUACCUUGAUAAGAAGCACCGGCUAACUACGUGCCAGCCGCCGCCGUAA